UGACCUCGGAUCAGGUAGGGAUACCCGCUGAACUUAAGCAUAUCAAUAAGCGGAGGAAAAGAAACCAACAGGGAUUGCCCUAGUAACGGCGAGUGAAGCGGCAACAGCUCAAAUUUGAAAUCUGGCUCUUUUAGGGUCCGAGUUGUAAUUUGCAGAGGGCGCUUUGGCGUUGGCAGCGGUUCAAGUUCCUUGGAACAGGACGUCACAGAGGGUGAGAAUCCCGUACGUGGUCGCUAACCUUCGCCGUGUAAAGCCCCUUCGACGAGUCGAGUUGUUUGGGAAUGCAGCUCUAAAUGGGAGGUAAAUUUCUUCUAAAGCUAAAUACUGGCCAGAGACCGAUAGCGCACAAGUAGAGUGAUCGAAAGAUGAAAAGCACUUUGGAAAGAGAGUCAAACAGCACGUGAAAUUGUUGAAAGGGAAGCGCUUGCAGCCAGACUUGCCUGUAGUUGCUCAUCCGGGCUUUUGCCCGGUGCACUCUUCUGCGGGCAGGCCAGCAUCAGUUUGGGCGGUUGGAUAAAGGUCUCUGUCAUGUACCUCUCUUCGGGGAGGCCUUAUAGGGGAGACGACAUGCAACCAGCCUGGACUGAGGUCCGCGCAUUCGCUAGGAUGCUGGCGUAAUGGCUGUAAGCGGCCCGUCUUGAAACACGGACCAAGGAGUCUAACAUCUAUGCGAGUGUUUGGGUGUCAAGCCCGAGCGCGUAAUGAAAGUGAACGGAGGUGGGACCCCAUUAGGGUGCACCAUCGACCGAUCCUGAUGUCUUCGGAUGGAUUUGAGUAAGAGCAUGGCUGUUGGGACCCGAAAGAUGGUGAACUAUGCUUGAAUAGGGUGAAGCCAGAGGAAACUCUGGUGGAGGCUCGCAGCGGUUCUGACGUGCAAAUCGAUCGUCAAAUUUGGGCAUAGGGGCGAAAGACUAAUCGAACUAUCUAGUAGCUGGUUCCUGCCGAAGUUUCCCUCAGGA
Molecule: ribosomal RNA, 959 nt
Filed under: Pyrenochaeta fraxinina
Lineage: Eukaryota; Fungi; Ascomycota; Dothideomycetes; Pleosporales; Cucurbitariaceae
Description: partial 28S ribosomal RNA
Rfam family: Eukaryotic large subunit ribosomal RNA
Source: RNAcentral